RNAcentral lists this ribosomal RNA (105 nucleotides) under uncultured eukaryote. Its description in RNAcentral is "partial small subunit ribosomal RNA". It matches the Rfam family "Eukaryotic small subunit ribosomal RNA", at positions 1675 to 1808 of the family's 1831-position model. The record is from RNAcentral.
GUCGCUCUUACCGAUGGAUUAUAUUAUGAGUUGGCAGGACCGUCCAGGAAAUGCCUCGAAUAAUGUGAUCUAAAGGAAAGAGAAGUCGUAACAAGGCAUCGGUAG